GAUGAACGCUGGCGGCGUGCCUAAUACAUGCAAGUCGAGCGAACGGACUAUAUUCUUUCUUCUCUUAUGUUUUCGGCUGACGUGUGUUUAACUCGUGUUUAACCUACCUUUUUUUCUGGUAUAACUUCGUGAAACCUUUUCUAAUACCGGAUAAUAUUUUGAACCUCAUUGUUCAAUAGUUAUUUUCGUUCUUUCUUUCUCUUAUAGAUGUAUCCGCGCUGCAUUAGCUAGUUGGUAAGGUAACGGCUUACCAAGGGAACGAUGCAUAUCCGACGUGAUAGGGAGAUCGGAGACACAGGAACUGAGACACGGAACAGAGUACUACGGGAGGCAGCAGUAGGGAAUAGUCCGCAAUGGGCGAAAGAAUGACGGAGAAAAGCGGCGUGAGUGAUGAAGGAAUUGGGAUCGGAAAAAACUGUUAUGAGGGAAGAAAAAAAGUGUAAGAAAAUGAGAAGAUAAUGACGGUAACAAAAAAGAAAGCAACGGCUAACUACGUG
This 497-nucleotide ribosomal RNA is filed under the name uncultured bacterium. Its description in RNAcentral is "partial 16S ribosomal RNA". It matches the Rfam family "Bacterial small subunit ribosomal RNA", at positions 28 to 507 of the family's 1533-position model. The record is from RNAcentral.